Molecule: long non-coding RNA, 1644 nt
Organism: Mus musculus (house mouse)
Lineage: Eukaryota; Metazoa; Chordata; Mammalia; Rodentia; Muridae
Product: predicted gene 15848
Exons: 4
Source: RefSeq, a predicted model, not a curated record
UCCUCCUGGUGGAUCUUGAGGUUCCUUUAAAGCACCUCCACUCCUGGAACCUUCCCUGGCUCCACUAUCGAACUGCUGGGUGGGGAUCCGUUCCUGCUAUUACCCUCUUCUACUGAGAUGGGCAGCAAGACAGGACAGCACAGCUGCUCAGCAGUUCAGAGGAUGGGGAAGUUCCAGCAAGGAAAAGCAAGAAGCUCCCGAGGAGACAGAUUUUUGCUUGCAAACCACUGGCAAGCAUUCAGAGAGCAGCAUCACGGCAUGGGCUAUGAGGUGUGAAGGAAGGUAGCUGACGGAUAUGCGCUCUAUCCCACCCUUUACUGACUGGUAAGAUACAAGGGAAAGCUGGUCAGGAAUCAGGGCAGACCUGGGGUCCCAAGUCAGAAGAAGGACGCAAGGCUUACCUCUUCAUGGAUGGCCCCUUGACAGAAACCCACACAGGGCCUGCUACUGAAAGCUGGCUUGGUGUUGGGGGGCUGCUUUCUUCUGUAGUGUUUUCAAGACUCCCAUCAAUGCUCCUUCCUUCCUCGGAUGCCACUUCCAAACAGGUAGCAUUUAAGGUCUGUGCACUUGGAGCUGGUGAUAACUCCUCCAGGGAGUGCAGCAUUUGUUGCUUAGACACCUCUGUUUUGUCUUGGAGAGUUUCCCAGGUCACAUGUUCUGAGAUCAGGGCCGAUGGCCUCGUGGUUCCUGUGGUCUUCCUGGGUGCUUCUGGAGACACCCUGACGUCUGUUUCAUCUCGUGGCCCAUCAGUCUCUGGGGUUGUGCCUUGCCUCCUUCCUUCACUCGUGGUAACACUGGGUGUUACUGAGUUCCUGGUGCUCCACAGCCAAACACCCUGUGUUGUGCUGGACAUGCUUCUUGAUUUUGGAGACGGACCCUCUGGAGUGGGGACUGCUGCCCUGAUAGAGCCCUCCUCUCUGCUGCCUGUCCCCGGAACCAUUGUCCUGGCUGUUCUUAAGGUUUGUCUUCCAUUGGCUGAAGAUGUAGUUUUGCUGGUACCUGUGGUUGGAACUGUUCUGUCCCAUUCUGAGCCUGAGCCUUCUAGGAUCUGGGUGAUGCCUGAGGUCCAUCCGUUGCCUGCUGAGGAUGCUGCUCCAGGAGAUGCUGUGGUGGGCUCACCGGAAGCUGGUGCUGCUGCAUAGGUGGUGUUGGAUGGACCUGUGUGGACACACAGAGAGAAAGGCCAAGCAGGAAGGCUACCUGGGUUACCUACUCGAUUCAGCAAAGGGCCUGUAUAUUCCCUAUUCAGCUACUCAUUCAUCUACUAUGCAUGCUACCAUUCAGCAAAAGGGCAAAGAAGCUGCUGAUUGCAUCAGACUGCAGCAUUCAAAGGGAUUUAUAUGCUCGCCAGAAAGAUGGACUCUGACUAGUCAAUAUUCUAGUCUAGAAGAUCAGAGACCGAAGCUGGCAUCCUGUGUUGCUGGAUUGAGGAACUAGUACUGAAUUUUGCACCUCAGCUCUACCACAACCCAGUCCCAUCUGAACAUGGCAAAUACUUCAUCCAAAAGAAUACUGUCGAUAAAAAAAAAAUCUAAGCAAUGACAUAACCCCAGAUAUAUAAAUCCCAGCAUAAGAAUCAUGGAAAACCAAGGCUAUGUUAAAUCUUGUAAAAAUUACUAAUCCUACAGCAUUCUCCCCAAUCUU